UAAUAGCGUAUAUUAAAGUUGUUGCAGUUAAAAAGCUCGUAGUUGGAUUUGUGGCGUACGGUGUGUUCCGGGCACUUGUUGUCUGAGUAACCUGCUGUUGCCAUCCUUGGGUGGAACCUGUGUGGCAUUAGGUUGUCGUGCAGGGGAUGCCCAUCAUUUACUGUGAAAAAAUUAGAGUGUUCAAAGCAGGCUUAUGCCGUUGAAUAUAUUAGCAUGGAAUAAUGAGAUAGGACUUUUUUGCUAUUUUGUUGGUUUGCGCAAAGAGGUAAUGAUUAAUAGGGACAGUUGGGGGUAUUCGUAUUCCAUUGUCAGAGGUGAAAUUCUUGGAUUUUUGGAAGACGAACUACUGCGAAAGCAUUUACCAAGGAUGUUUUCAUUAA
This 380-nucleotide ribosomal RNA is filed under the name uncultured eukaryote. RNAcentral's name for it is "partial 18S ribosomal RNA". It matches the Rfam family "Eukaryotic small subunit ribosomal RNA", at positions 592 to 976 of the family's 1831-position model. The record is from RNAcentral.